Long non-coding RNA from Zophobas morio, 245 nucleotides. RefSeq lists it as uncharacterized. NCBI's taxonomy places the organism in Eukaryota, Metazoa, Arthropoda, Insecta, Coleoptera, Tenebrionidae. The record is from RefSeq and is a predicted model, not a curated record. The transcript has 2 exons.
GGCAUAUUGUGACACUAUGCGCGUUUCACCAUCCCACGUUCCUGUCAGCGCUUCCAUUUCUACUAACUUACUUGCAGAUGGAGCCUCUAAUAUUGCUUCAAUCGAUGUUUUUACCUAUACAGGAUGGAAGUCACAAAGAAGUCCUAGGACAAGAGAAUGAAUUUUCUCAAGUAGCUCGUGUAUCCGACAUUACUAUUAUUUUACAUACUUGUAUACAAUAUGUAUAUAAAUAACAUUUAAACAGC